GAUGAACGCUGGCGGCGUGCCUAAUACAUGCAAGUCGAGCGAACAGACGAGGAGCUUGCUCCUCUGACGUUAGCGGCGGACGGGUGAGUAACACGUGGAUAACCUACCUAUAAGACUGGGAUAACUUCGGGAAACCGGAGCUAGUACCGGAUAAUAUAUUGAACCGCAUGGUUCAAUAGUGAAAGACGGUUUUGCUGUCACUUAUAGAUGGAUCCGCGCCGCAUUAGCUAGUUGGUAAGGUAACGGCUUACCAAGGCAACGAUGCGUAGCCGACCUGAGAGGGUGAUCGGCCACACUGGAACUGAGACACGGUCAAGACUCCUACGGGAGGCAGCAGUAGGGAAUCUUCCGCAAUGGGCGAAAGCCUGACGGAGCAACGCCGCGUGAGUGAUGAAGGUCUUCGGAUCGUAAAAAUCUGUUAUUAGGGAAGAACAAAUGUGUAAGUAACUAUGCACGUCUUGACGGUACCUAAUCAGAAAGCCACGGCUAACUACGUG
RNAcentral lists this ribosomal RNA (497 nucleotides) under uncultured bacterium. RNAcentral describes it as "partial 16S ribosomal RNA". It matches the Rfam family "Bacterial small subunit ribosomal RNA", at positions 28 to 507 of the family's 1533-position model. The record is from RNAcentral.